AUGGCCAUACCAUGCUGAAUAUACCGGUUCUCGUUAGAUCACCGAAGUCAAGCAUCGUUGGGCGCGGUCAGUACUUGGGUGGGUGACCACCUGGGAACACCGCGUGCCGU
This 110-nucleotide ribosomal RNA is filed under the name Caerostris extrusa. The record is from RNAcentral. Lineage: Eukaryota; Metazoa; Arthropoda; Arachnida; Araneae; Araneidae.